AUCCUUUUGUCGUUCAUAAGCAUGAUGAUUGGGUGUUUAUGUGCAUGUGUGAAAUGUGCCACCCUGAAAAUUUGUUACAAUGUCAGUACAUUACCUAUCUGACA
This 104-nucleotide small nucleolar RNA is filed under the name Carlito syrichta (Philippine tarsier). RNAcentral describes it as "Small nucleolar RNA U13 (ENSTSYG00000028274.1)". It matches the Rfam family "Small nucleolar RNA U13". Lineage: Eukaryota; Metazoa; Chordata; Mammalia; Primates; Tarsiidae. The record is from Rfam by way of RNAcentral.